GGGGGCGUAGCUCAGCUGGUUAGAGCACUUGCUCGACAAGCAAGGGGUCACCGGUUCGAAUCCAGUCGUCCCCACCA
This 77-nucleotide transfer RNA is filed under the name Oscillospiraceae bacterium. RNAcentral's name for it is "tRNA-Val". It matches the Rfam family "tRNA". From Rfam's summary of the family: Transfer RNA (tRNA) molecules are approximately 80 nucleotides in length. Their secondary structure includes four short double-helical elements and three loops (D, anti-codon, and T loops). Lineage: Bacteria; Bacillati; Bacillota; Clostridia; Eubacteriales; Oscillospiraceae. The record is from RNAcentral.